GGUUCCUACGGGGGGCAGCAGUGAGGAAUAUUGGUCAAUGGGAGAGAUCCUGAACCAGCCAAGCCGCGUGAGGGAAGACGGUCCUAUGGGUUGUAAACCUCUUUUGUCGGAGAACAAAACCCGGGACGUGUCCCGGACUACGUGUAUCCGAAGAAAAAGCAUCGGCUAACUCCGUGCCAGCAGCCGCGGUAAUACGGAGGAUGCGAGCGUUAUCCGGAUUGAUUGGGUUUAAAGGGUGCGUAGGCGGUCCGUUAAGUCAGCGGUAAAUUUGGGGGGCUCAACCCCGUCGAG
RNAcentral lists this ribosomal RNA (291 nucleotides) under uncultured bacterium. Its description in RNAcentral is "partial 16S ribosomal RNA". It matches the Rfam family "Bacterial small subunit ribosomal RNA", at positions 334 to 621 of the family's 1533-position model. The record is from RNAcentral.